RNAcentral lists this long non-coding RNA (649 nucleotides) under Nicotiana tabacum (common tobacco). RNAcentral's name for it is "long non-coding RNA (NTAB_LNC012512)". The record is from RNAcentral. Lineage: Eukaryota; Viridiplantae; Streptophyta; Magnoliopsida; Solanales; Solanaceae.
AAAUAGUUAAGAAGCAAACUAGCUGAUGAACAAGAAUAUAAGAUAGAAAGUAUUUUAUUGCUUUGAUAUGCGUAAAUGUGAUAUGGUUACAAGAUGAUUAGGGCCCUCUUUAUAUAAUAGAGGAAUCCUAUUUAUGGUACAAUUCUAUUACGAAAGUAAAUCCAAUGAUUAACCAAAUAACCGCCUUUGAUUUGAUCUGUUCCGUGAUUUACGCCAUGAUCUUCGGCCAGUCACGAAUAUCUCGUCUUUCUGUUAUUGUGUUUUGCUCGAUGUCUGUCUCAUUUGGCCUCGAUCGCUAUUGGCCUCGAUCUUCGAUAGGUGUCUCGGUCCUCGAACUCGGUGCAUUAUCCUCGUACCUCGGUCUGAUCUGUUGCGAGGCCGACCUUCGAUGCAAUUCCCUAGCCUCGAUCAAACAGUAAAAUCAGAUAUGCCCGAUUUUAACCGUAUAUAAAUAAUAUUUUCAAAUAAAAUCAAUCCAUCAAAACGAUAAAUAGAGAAAAUUAAAAGAGCCAAAAGCAUAUUAUCCAAACACCUUCUAAUGUUGAAAAAACAGCUUCUAAUACUGGAAGCACGUUCUCCAACGGUCCCACCCCCUCCUCACCUGCAAAUGCAAUUCAAAGGAGUGAAACUUGCAAAUGGGCACUUAUAU